This 496-nucleotide ribosomal RNA is filed under the name uncultured bacterium. RNAcentral describes it as "partial 16S ribosomal RNA". It matches the Rfam family "Bacterial small subunit ribosomal RNA", at positions 28 to 506 of the family's 1533-position model. The record is from RNAcentral.
GAUGAACGCUGGCGGCGUGCCUAAUACAUGCAAGUCGAGCGAACAGACGAGGAGCUUGCUCCUCUGACGUUAGCGGCGGACGGGUGAGUAACACGUGGAUAACCUACCUUUAAGACUGGGAUAACUUCGGGAAACCGGAGCUAAUACCGGAUAAUAUAUUGAACCGCAUGGUUCAAUAGUGAAAGACGGUUUUGCUGUCACUUAUAGAUGGAUCCGCGCCGCAUUAGCUAGUUGGUAAGGUAACGGCUUACCAAGGCAACGAUGCGUAGCCGACCUGAGAGGGUGAUCGGCCACACUGGAACUGAGACACGGUCCAGACUCCUACGGGAGGCAGCAGUAGGGAAUCUUCCGCAAUGGGCGAAAGCCUGACGGAGCAACGCCGCGUGAGUGAUGAAGGUCUUCGGAUCGUAAAACUCUGUUAUUAGGGAAGAACAAAUGUGUAAGUAACUAUGCACGUCUUGACGGUACCUAAGCAGAAAGCCACGGCUAACUACGU